This 486-nucleotide ribosomal RNA is filed under the name uncultured bacterium. RNAcentral's name for it is "partial 16S ribosomal RNA". It matches the Rfam family "Bacterial small subunit ribosomal RNA", at positions 30 to 507 of the family's 1533-position model. The record is from RNAcentral.
AUUGAACGCUGGCGGCAUGCCUUACACAUGCAAGUCGAACGGCAGCACGGGUGCUUGCACCUGGUGGCGAGUGGCGCACGGGUGAGUAAUACAUCGGAACAUGUCCUGUAGUGGGGGAUAGCCCGGCGAAAGCCGGAUUAAUACCGCAUACGAUCCACGGAUGAAAGCGGGGGACCUUCGGGCCUCGCGCUAUAGGGUUGGCCGAUGGCUGAUUAGCUAGUUGGUGGGGUAAAGGCCUACCAAGGCGACGAUCAGUAGCUGGUCUGAGAGGACGACCAGCCACACUGGGACUGAGACACGGCCCAGACUCCUACGGGAGGCAGCAGUGGGGAAUUUUGGACAAUGGGCGAAAGCCUGAUCCAGCAAUGCCGCGUGUGUGAAGAAGGCCUUCGGGUUGUAAAGCACUUUUGUCCGGAAAGAAAUCCUUGACUCUAAUACAGUCGGGGGAUGACGGUACCGGAAGAAUAAGCACCGGCUAACUACGUG